This is a non-coding RNA of Schistosoma curassoni, 45 nucleotides long. The record is from Rfam. NCBI's taxonomy places the organism in Eukaryota, Metazoa, Platyhelminthes, Trematoda, Strigeidida, Schistosomatidae.
AUCUAGCUGACGAGUCCCAUAUAAGACAAAACACGCGUCCUAGAU